GACGAACGCUGGCGGCGUGCCUAAUACAUGCAAGUAGAACGCUGAAGGAGGAGCUUGCUCUUCUGGAUGAGUUGCGAACGGGUGAGUAACGCGUAGGUAACCUGCCUGGUAGCGGGGGAUAACUAUUGGAAACGAUAGCUAAUACCGCAUAAAAUUGAUUAUUGCAUGAUAGUCAAUUAAAAGGUGCAAUUGCAUCACUACCAGAUGGACCUGCGUUGUAUUAGCUAGGUGGUGAGGUAACGGCGCACCAAGGCAACGAUACAUAGCCGACCUGCUAGGGGGAUCGGACACCCUGGGAGGGAGACACGGCACAUACUGCUACGGGAGGUAGCCGGAGGGAAUCUUCGGAAAGGGGCGGAAGUCAGACCAAACAACGCCGAGUCCGGAAAGAAGGUUUUCGGAUCCUAGAGCUCUGUUGUAAGAGAAGAACCAGCGUGAGAGUGGAAAGUGCACUCUGUGACGGUAUCUUACCAGAAAGCAACGGCUAACUACGUG
RNAcentral lists this ribosomal RNA (495 nucleotides) under uncultured bacterium. Its description in RNAcentral is "partial 16S ribosomal RNA". It matches the Rfam family "Bacterial small subunit ribosomal RNA", at positions 28 to 507 of the family's 1533-position model. The record is from RNAcentral.